Molecule: RNA transcript, 5872 nt
Organism: Oncorhynchus kisutch (coho salmon)
Lineage: Eukaryota; Metazoa; Chordata; Actinopteri; Salmoniformes; Salmonidae
Gene name: TSC22 domain family protein 4-like
Exons: 6
Source: RefSeq, a predicted model, not a curated record
GGCGUAACUUCCGGGUUUAUAAAAGUUGUCAACAGUUUGCUAAAUAGAAAAACAUGUAGCUAGAUACUGAGACCAGAACCGUUCUUUUAUAGCUGAAUGAGGAAGCUACCCGUAUUUUUCCAGCAGAGAAAGAGAGACGGGGGAAGGAGUGACUGAAGACAGACAGACGGCGCCGCUGCGGAAAGCAGAAGUAGUUAGUUACAGUAGUUAACUAGCUAGCCAGAAUGUUUAGCUACUGUAGCUAGUUAGCUAACUUGUAUGGUGAUAAGUAUAAGUACCAGGCCAGCUAAAAACGGGCUGGUGUGUGUGAGCCUGCUCUCCCUCUCCGCGGCUACACUACUGAUGCCGGUCUCGGCCGGGGCUCCAUGGAAGAGCUGCUAGCACAGGACGGAACAAGGAACGUGACUGCAACCGAGGCUCACCCCUGCCCGGGCAAGCCCUCUGCCCAUCUCUCUGGUCCAACGGGAUAUUAUUACCGUGGGGUGAGCCUGGAAACGGGAGUUACGGCCGACCGACCGAGCGGCGAUGGGAUGUUCGAAAGACACGGUUGAAACCCCUGGAACCUGCUUCUCCCGCUACAGAAUCCGGGUAGAGAUCCAGGACAAGAUGAGUGGGGGGAAGAAGAGGAGUGGCUUCCAGAUUACUAGUGUGACGUCAGACUACACGCAGAGCUCUGGGGAAGCCCCACCCCAUGUUCAGGCCUCUAGCCAAUCAAAUCCCUCCCUUCAGUCCUCCAGCCAAUCCACUGAUUCCUCCCAGCCUGGCCUCUCCCACCAGCAGGGAUGUUUCUCCCAGCCGACGACUCCCCUCUCUCUGAGGAAAUCCAACUCACAAGAUGCUGUGGGGCAGGGGUCCAGGUUUCGAGUUGUCAGAUUGGGCCAGGGCCAUGGAGGACCCUAUUGCCGGGGGCGGUGGACCUGUACGGACUAUUUGGAACGAGAGGAAGCGGUGGGGCCUAGAUGGGUGAUGGACAGCAUGAGACACGCCCACUCUCUGGAGUCCCUGGAGGGGAUUGGUCUACAGAGGGCUGGGGGAGGGGCUGGAGGCGAGCUGCUGGGGCACAUGCGCACUCUCAGGACAGGACACCUUGUUCACUCUCAGGGUACCUCCCACUUGCUGGCCCAGCCAAUAGGGUCAGACGUGGAGGGGUUUGGAGGGCUGAAGCCUCUCCUCCACAGCGACCCGCCCAACCCCACACACCUGGAAAGAUUCAACUUGCGAGUGGUCGACUCCAUGCCCCCCCUGCCCAGCCCCCGCCCACGGAACAUCCCACCCCCUCUACGCCUGGAUGUGGACGCUACCGGGAGGGUGAAAACACACAGACAAUACACAUAUACACACACAGACAAUACACAUAUACACAUAACCACACACAGACAAUACACACAGACAAUACACAUAUACACACACCUUCCUACAUUCCCAAGCAGAGGUUUGUUGAUAGCAUGUGUAAGUAAGUCUCCCCCUGUCUCCCUCUCUCUCCCCCUGUCUCCCUCUCUCUCCCCCUGUCUCCCUCUCUCUCCCCCUGUCUCCCUCUCUCUCCCCCUGUCUCCCUCUCUCUCCCUCUCUCUCUCCCCCUGUCUCCCUCUCUCUCUCCCCCUGUCUCCCUCUCUGUCUCCCCCUGUCUCCCUCUCUCUCUCCCCCUGACUCCCUCUCUCUCUCCCCCUGACUCCCUCUCUCUCUCCCCCUGUCUCCCUCUCUCUCUCCCCCUGUCUCCCUCUCUCUCUCUCCCUCUCUCUCUCCCCCUGUCUCUCUCUCCCUCUCUCUCUCCCCCUCUCUCUCCCUCUCUCUCUCCCCCUCUCUCCCCCUGUCUCCCCCUCUCUCUCUCCCCCUGUCUCCCUCUCUCUCUCUCCCCCCUCUGUAUCUGUAAAGUUAAAUUACUUAUAUUGUCAAAGGAUGACAUGACCUGGUAGUAGACCAGUGUCAACAUGACUGAGAAAACACAUGACCUGGUAGUAGACCAGUGUCAACAUGACUGAGAAGACACAUGACCUGGUAGUAGACCAGUGUCAACAUGACUGAGAAGACACAUGACCUGGUAGUAGACCAGUGUCAACAUGACUGAGAAGACACAUGACCUGGUAGUAGACCAGUGUCAACAUGACUGAGAAGACACAUGACCUGGUAGUAGACCAGUGUCAACAUGACUGAGAAGACACAUGACCUGGUAUGAAAGACCAAACAAAACCAGAUUGUUGACGUUACAUUUCACUUUUCACUGACUGUCCCUCAGGUUGUGGCAGGAGGACAUGUUUGGCUUCUAAAACUGCACAUUUUGACUUUUCACCCAAUACAUAUUAGAUUUAUUUUCUUAAUCUUUUAUAGUUUGAAAUUCUUUAUAUUGAAUUAUAAUUUUGGGAAAGGAAGAUUCUCUUAGGUCUGAGUAUUUGUCACAGUGUCAUAGGAAAUGCAGCUCUGUCUCUACCUCUCCCCUGGAGCAGAGUGAGCACGGACUGUCCUCUCUGGGCAGCCAGGUUGGUCUGUGACGACCGGUCUCUAUAGCCAGACUGUCCUCUCUGGGCAGCCAGGUUGGUCUGUGACGACCGGUCUCUAUAGCCAGACUGUCCUCCCUGGGCAACCAGACUUUCCUCCCUGGGCAUCCAGGUUUGUCUGUGAUGACUGGUCUCUAUAGCCAGACUGUCCUCUCUGGGUAGCCAGGUUGGUCUGUGACGACCGGUCUCUAUAGCCAGACUGUUCUCUCUGGGCAGCCAGGUUGGUCUGUGACAACCGGUCUCUAUAGCCAGACUGUUCUCUCUGGGUAGCCAGGUUGGUCUGUGACAACCGGUCUCUAUAGCCAGACUGUCCUCUCUGGGCAGCCAGGUUUGUCUGUGACGACCGGUCUCUAUAGCCAGACUGUCAUCUGUGUACAGCAGACCCUCCUUAGUGGGAGACAGCAGCACCAGGUCAUCUGUGUACAGCAGACCCUCCUUAGUGGGAGACAGCAGACCCUCCUUAGUGGGAGACAGCAGACCCUCCUUAGUGGGAGACAGUAGCACCAGGUCAUCUGUCGACAGCAGACCCUCCUUAGUGGGAGACAGCAGACCCUCCUUAGUGGGAGACAGCAGACCCUCCUUAGUGGGAGACAGCAGACCCUCCUUAGUGGGAGACAGUAGCACCAGGUCAUCUGCGUACAGCAGACACUUGAUUUCAGUGUUGUGUGAGACCAGGUACUGCCGAUUCUUCUAAUGUUUUUGCCAAUUCAUUAAUGUAGAUGUUAAAUAGUGUUGGACUUAUUGGGCAGCCCUGUUUCACUCCCCGUCCCUGAGAGAAGAAGUCUGUUUGCUUGUUGCCAAUUUUAACCACACAUUUGUUUUUAGUGUACAUUGAUUUAAUAACAUCAUAUUUUUUAGUGUGGAGGGUAUAAAUGUGGUUGACUUGUUUGUCUGUUAGUGAGGAGGGUAUAAGUGGGGUCUGUUCUGUGGUGAUUUGGUAAAAAUCCAAGCUGGCUUCUGCUCAGGAUGUUGUGUUCAUCAAGGAAAUUAUGUAGUCUGCUAUUUAUGAUACUGCAAAGAAUUUUCCCUAAAUUGCUGCUAAUGCAAAUUUCUCUAAUUUGGGUUAAAUUUGUCUCCAUUUUUAUUUAUUUUAAAUUUUUCCCCAAAUAUCGAACUUGUGGUCUGUAUAUUUGAUCAUUUAAUUUAAAAUGCCAUCAGCACCACAGGCCUUUUUGGGUUGGAGAGUGCGUAGUUUUUCAAAUAUUUCUUCCGUAAUUGGGGAACAGGAUUCUGAUAGUUUUUGAUUCAAAGUUUUGUAAAUGUUCUUGUGUAUCUUUUUUGUCCUGGGCUCUUUGUUAUAUUGCUGUAGAGGUUUGCAAAGUGAUUUCUCCACAUAUCCCCAUUUUGGAUAGCCAAUUCCUCAUGAUGAGGUUUGUUUAAUUUAUUCCAAUUCUCCCAGAAGUGGUUUAAUUCUAUGGAUUCCUCAGUUCCAUCCAGCUGAUUUCUAAUGUUCUGUUCCUCUGUUCUCAGGGUGUGUUUAUAUUGUUUCAGUGUUUCUCCAUAUUGGGUGUGUUUGUAUUGUUUCAGUGUUUCCCCACAUUGAAGGCCUAUUUUUUUUAUGUCUGGUUCUCUGUGUUUUUGAUUAGAUAUAUUUCUCAAUGACUUCUUUAGAUUUCUCCAAUCAUUAUCAAACCAUUUUUCAUUCUCUAUUCUCUUUGGUUUCCUCUUUUGUGUCUAGAUUAUCCAAGGAGGAUCAUUUGUCAGAUAUAAAGUUUGUUCCAAACGGCCAAAUUUACACCUUCAUUUCUGUAGGAGAAUGUUAAGGCAAAAAAGUUGUCCAGGAGAGAGUUUUUUUUUUUGGGCUACUAAUUGCUUUUUGGUAGAUGUCUGUUCUCACUCCCAUCUAUAGGCCUGUUUAGUACCAUGUCAUUUAUUGGGCCGUCAUGCUUCAUGGUUGGGUGUUAGUGGGCUGACUGUGAAGGCUCUGAGAGAGGUGUUAGUGGGCUGACUGUGAAGGCUCUGAGAGAAGUGUUAGUGGGCUGACUGUGAAGGCUCUGAGAGAGGUGUUAGUGGGCUGACUGUGAAGGCUCUGAGAGACUCUGGGUUUAGGUCGGUGAGGAAGUAGUCUACAGUGCUGCUGCCAAGGGAAGAGCUGAAGGUGGACCUACCAGAAGAGUCCCCUCUCAGCCUACCAUUGACUGUACAGACCCAGUGUUCCACAGAGCUUCAGGAGAAGCUUCCAUUUGAGUUUUUCACUUUGUCAUAGUUGUUUCUGGGGGUAUGUGGGGAGGGAAAGGUUGUUGCUUCACCUCUGCACCAUGUUUCCUGUAGUACUACAGUAUCAACAUCAUCAAUUUCUUUCAGGAAGUCUGCGUUUCUGCGAUUUAGCCCAAAAGCAGAGGACUUAAAUUCUUGUAAAUUCCAACAUGAAAAUAUUUCAUAACAGUUUUUUUUUUCUCUGUCUCUCCCCUCUGUUGGUCUCUCUGUCGGUCUUUCUCUCUCCCUCUCUCUGUCUGGGUCUCUCUCUCCCCCCCUCUCUCUCUGUCGGGGUCUCCCUCUCCCCUCUGUCGGUCUCUCCCCCUCUCGCUGUCGGUCUCUCUCCCCCUCUCUUUCUCUCUCUCCCCCUGUCUCUUUUUCUGUCGGGGUCUCGCUCUGUCGGUCGCUGUCGGGGUCUCUCUCUCCCCCUCUCUCUCUCGGGGUCUCUCUCUCCCCUCUGUCUGUCUCUCCCCCUCUCGCUGUCGGUCUCUCCACCUCUCUCUCUCUCUGUUGGGGUCUCUCUCUCUCUGUCGGGGUCUCUCUCUCCCCCUCUCUCUCUCCCCAUAUCCACUCUCUCUCUAGUCUCUGUUGAGAGUGUCUCAUUCCCAGCCCAGCUCCCCUGGGCCCCCCCUACAGGGUAGAGAUGGUACUAUCCUACCCAGUCUGAUUCCCAUCCAGACUUCUUCGGCCUGGUCCAUGUUCGGCUCCGGGGAGGCUGUCCAUCUGCCAGGGGACGACAGGGAGGGCGAGAAUCCUGUCCCAGACCAUGAUGGACCCUCCACCUCCAAAUCGAUCCCGCUCCAAAGUACUGGCCUCGGCGUAACGCUCAUUCCUUCGACGAUAAACGUGAAUCCAACCAUCACACCUGUGGGUCGAGCAGCAGCAUGAUCGCAAUCGACAACAAGAUAGAGCAAGCCAUGGACCUUGUAAAGACCCACCUGAUGCUGGCGGUCAGAGAGGAAGUGGAGUUGCUAUGGGAACAGAUUAAAGAACUAUCAGAAAGGAACGCCCAGCUGGAGAGAGAGAACUAUAUCCUGAGAACUCUGAGAGACAGAGACUGACACAGCAACAAAAUGUUACACUCCUCUCAUGAUCGUUGUUUAAAUUAGUAAUACCUGUAACAUGACUGAUGAAUGAUUCUGUCUAACGGCAGAAAACAAUAAUAAAUAACUGUGACUAAAGAG